CCAUUCAUUGUGAAGGGGCGGGCCCAACUAUUUUAGCGUUGUGAUUGUGAUCCAGCCAAGCCAAAUAUAGUCGUAGACAGGUAUUUUUAGCCGUAAAGCGCGUCCCCGUGUUCAUUCGGCAAAGGCGACCUGGGCCAUACAGUCACAGAAAUGAGCCACUGCUCCAAUAUCAGCACACUCAGUGUUAACCUGUUAUUCAGUGGGGGAUAGUUUUACAGUCAGCUGUUAUUGCCGUCAUACCCAGAGAGAAACAACUGUAGGAGCUGUGGAGAGUAAGUCUCACUGCCACAGGUUCUCUCUCGAUCCGGGGACAAGGUUGAAAAAGCUGGGGAUGAAAAGACCGUAGACCCGAAGAUAAAUAACCUUCGGUUCAUCAAGCAGACACAUACAACAGCUGCCUCGGCUGUGACCUCACCAUGGUGACGUGUAAUCCAGAUUAACCUGCUCUCUUAUUCCGCCAGACAUGGAAGUGAUUAGAGAUUAUGACUGUGUCCUUUUAAUAGAAUUGGACGUGUGGGUAAUCAACUGCGUCCACCAGCGUCGCGUGUCAGAGACGUCAUGCUCGUGUUGCUGAUGGAAUCUCCUGUUUGGUGUUUCCUGUUGCCAGGAAAAAGCCUGUCAUCGGGUCACAACAGUGACCGGACAACUGCCUUAGAGAGUGACGUCACAUGCACGUCUUACUUCAGCAGCUUUACUAUACACGCCGGGGACACGGUAAGCUGGGGAAGCCCUCACACACACACGCACACACAUAUAGCCACGCUCACUAAUCCAAUUAGGACAUUAGUUGAUAACAGCCUGGCCCGGGCCUCAUCGGACACACACUGAGCCAAUUAUUACUGGAUGGAUAGGCCGGGCAAUCCCGGUGUUUCCCAGCUCUAAGGUGCUGAAGUGGUCCACAUCAGGCGGACACUUCAUACGCACCAAGGAUCCCCUUGCUAUUUCUGUGGACAUACACGCUGCCUGCCCAGUGAGUCAACAAAGACAAGGAAGAAGCCAAGAAGUGACUUCCACUCAGUCAGCAGAGUUGCAGAGGGUGAACUGAAAACCCAGAGCUUAGCCAGGGUAAGAGACUUUCCCCUACGCACUCGGCUCUGUCUACACAAAACUCCUAAUCACAUGCCAGGAAUAGUCACGGACAUAUACACUCUGGAAAUUAUUAACAGGAAUGCAGAACAAUCAACAGAUGGAAGACUUUGGGAUGCUGCUUUCACCCACUAAACAUGCACUCAUUUUCCAUGUGCUAGAAAACCAUUGAUACCAUUUGUAGUGAGUGUGUGUGUGAGUGUGGAUAUGUGUAUUUUCUAAGAGCCUCUUCGUUAAACAACACACCAGAAUGAGGCGCACUCCAAACAAGGCCACAAGUCCAUACAGAGGCUCUUAACUAACACUCACUGUGUAGUGAGGCUCUGCAGAGCUGUUAUAUUCUCUUUUAUUCUCUUCUACACACACACAAACACACCCUGCGUACCAUAUUACGGCUGGCUUGGUUAGGGUGAUCGAGUACAAUGGCCUGUCACCCAGUUACAUGCAUACGCCACGUAAACAGACAAACAGCAAACACAUGCUGCAGGCAGGAAAAAGAUGUCACUAGUGCAUUUUGGUGGAAGAAAGCUCAUAAAAUGGUGACGGAGCAAAAGAGAAUUAGUUGUGUCUGUCAUGUGUCGUGUCAGGCCCUCCCUAAUGCUAAUGUACCAUUCAUCUGUGUCAUAGAACGUUAAUGACUCUCAGCACAGAGAGCCUCGCUGAAGCACUCAGAGAGUAAAGCUUUGCUGUCCACUCAGUCAGCUUGUCUGUACGCUCCCCUGUUUCUUUUGAUCUGUCUCUACACCUCCCUGUUUCUGUCUGUCUGUCUGUCUGUCUGUCUGUGUCUGUUUCUACACUACCCUGUCUAUCUGUUGUGUUUGUCUGUCUGCCUCUCUGUCUCCAUGCUCUCCUCUUUUUGUCUAUUUCCCUGAUUUUGUUUCCCCGUGUCUCUUCUGUCUGUCUUUGUCUCCAUUGCUCAGUUUCUAUCUGCUUGCUAUCUCUCUUCUACAAGCCAAAUUUAU
This is a long non-coding RNA of Siniperca chuatsi (mandarin fish), 2048 nucleotides long. RefSeq lists it as uncharacterized. The transcript has 3 exons. NCBI's taxonomy places the organism in Eukaryota, Metazoa, Chordata, Actinopteri, Centrarchiformes, Sinipercidae. The record is from RefSeq and is a predicted model, not a curated record.